Molecule: ribosomal RNA, 483 nt
Filed under: uncultured bacterium
Lineage: Bacteria
Description: partial 16S ribosomal RNA
Rfam family: Bacterial small subunit ribosomal RNA
Source: RNAcentral
GACGAACGCUGGCGGCGUGCUUAACACAUGCAAGUCGAACGCUGAAGCUCAGCUUUUGUUGGGUGGAUGAGUGGCGAACGGGUGAGUAACACGUGAGUAACCUGCCUCCUUCUUUGGGAUAACGCCCGGAAACGGGUGCUAAUACUGGAUAUUCACUGGUCUUCGCAUGGGGGUUGGUGGAAAGGGUUUUUCUGGUGGGGGAUGGGCUCGCGACCUAUCAGCUUGUUGGUGGGGUGAUGGCCUACCAAGGCUUUGACGGGUAGCCGGCCUGAGAGGGUGACCGGUGACAUUGGGACUGAGAUGCGGCCCAGAGUAGGAAGGGGGGCAGAAGUGGGGAAAAUGGGAGAAUGGGCGAAAGAGUGAUGCAGCGACGCCGCGGGAGGGAUGGGGGCCUUCGGGUUGUGAAGCUCGGUCGCUCAUGGUCAAGCCGCAACAAUGGGUGUGGUGAGGGUAGUGGGUAAAGAAGCGCCGGCUAACUACGUG